CUGAUGCAGCGACGCCGCGUGAGGGAUGACGGCCUUCGGGUUGUAAACCUCUUUCAGUAGGGAAGCAGCCGCUUCGGCGGUGACGGUACCUGCAGAAGAAGUACCGGCUAACUACCUGCCAGCAGCCGCGGUAAUACGUAGGGUACAAGCGUUGUCCGGAAUUAUUGGGCGUAAAGAGUCGUAGGCGGUUCGUCGCGUCUGCUGUGGAAACGCAAGGCUCAACCUUGCGCGUGCAGUGGGUACGGGCGGACUAGAGUGCAGUAGGGGAGUCUGGAAUUCCUGGUGUAGCGGUGAAAUGCGCAGAUAUCAGGAGGAACACCGGUGGCGAAGGCGGGACUCUGGGCUGUAACUGACGCUGAGGAGCGAAAGCAUGGGGAGCGUUCAGGAUUUUAAACC
Molecule: ribosomal RNA, 396 nt
Filed under: Brevibacterium yomogidense
Lineage: Bacteria; Bacillati; Actinomycetota; Actinomycetes; Micrococcales; Brevibacteriaceae
Description: bacterial SSU rRNA
Rfam family: Bacterial small subunit ribosomal RNA
Source: RNAcentral